Molecule: transfer RNA, 76 nt
Filed under: Rhizobiaceae bacterium
Lineage: Bacteria; Pseudomonadati; Pseudomonadota; Alphaproteobacteria; Hyphomicrobiales; Rhizobiaceae
Description: tRNA-Lys
Rfam family: tRNA
About the family: Transfer RNA (tRNA) molecules are approximately 80 nucleotides in length. Their secondary structure includes four short double-helical elements and three loops (D, anti-codon, and T loops).
Source: RNAcentral
GGGCCGCUAGCUCAACUGGCAGAGCAACUGACUCUUAAUCAGUAGGUUGAAGGUUCGAUUCCUUCGCGGCUCACCA